GCACGCCCAUCUAGUGCAAGUCAUGUUACUUUGUAAUUGUGCACAGUGUUUGUGUUGUGUAGAAGUACGUAGUUAAGUUCGACACUCUUCUCUUCUUAUGCACUCUUGGUUCUGUCAAUAAUGAGUGCUAGUGUAUGUCUAGGGUACCAAGCCCCGUUAUCUCCUAUGCCUAUUACUAGAUCUAGAUCUAGAUCACUUUCUGAUGUCCGGCCUGCUAGCACUGUAGAAGAUCUGGAGGAAGACCUACGGAAACAACAAAAACGAAGGAGGAUAUUCGACGAUGCUCUAAGAGAUGGAAUAGUGACUGUGAAAAUAACUAAUGCUCUAAUUCAAGGAGAAGCUGGAGUUGGAAAAACUUGUAUCAAGCGCAUUCUUUGUAAUCAGGGCUCUGCCAGCUCUAGAGAUAGCACUCCUCUUGCCGAUAUUUCUGUUCAUGUUAGAGAUGUAACUGAUGUCAAGGUCCAUUCCCAUAACAACAAAUGGAAAGAAGUAAACGAUGAAAAACUGCAUGAAAUUGUUGGAGCUAUGAUUUCGGGCGUAGUUCGUGAAAUUCAGGCAAAAGAUCCGACAGAGAUAAUAAAUUCAGCUGACAAGCAACCAGCUAAUAAAACACCUUCCACAUUGCUACCACUGGCUCAACUUGAGUUACUGAUUGCUGAUCUUCGUGAUAAAGUAGUGGAUUCACAUCAUCCAAGAUCACAAGAUGCACGACAAAUUCUAGGCUCCAACUGGAUCUAUUUUAUCGACAGUGGUGGCCAGCCUCACUUUCACAAUCUUCUACCUCAUUUUUUACAUGGUAUUAGCAUUGCUUUGUUUACUCUGAAGCUUUCAGAACAAUUGGACUCUCAUUCUAUGGUUGAGUAUUACGAAAACGGCAAACUGAUUUCAACUCCAUACCAAUCACCUCUUACAACUAUUGAUACCCUCAAGUGUCUCGUUCGCUCAAUGCAGUCUCAUACUAUCAAUGGAGAAAAACCUACUCUUGUCAUUGUAGGCACCUUUCGGGACGAAAUCAAUAAACGUUAUGAAACUGUACAGGAAAAGAAUGAGCGACUACUUAAAAUUCUUUCACCAGAAUUUACUGACCAGCUUGUUUUUUGUAACGAAACUGAGGAUGAAUUGAUAUUUGCUCUUAAUGGAAAGGAUCCAGGCCCUCAUGAAGAAAGAAUGGCCAAAAUGAUAAGAUCUAUCGUCGAUGACUCUCCUUCUAAAGUAAUCGAAAUGCCGAUUUGGUGGUACGUGCUGGAAAUGUCACUAAAAGAAAUGUCAAAUCGUCUCAACAGGAAAGUAUUGAGCAUACAAGAGUGUCUGGAAGUCGCAAAGCAAAUACAUAUCGAAGAAAAUGCACUUGUGGAGGCUUUGAAAUUCUUUCAUGAACAACACAUUUUUCACUACUAUGUCGACAUCUUGCCUAACGUUGUCUUCACUAGCUCUCAAGUUCUCCUGGACAAGCUGACAGAGUUGGUCAAGGAAGCAUACGAUAAAAGGAUUAAAUCAACAGCCACUGCUGGACGGGCUAAAGCUUCAAAAGGAAAAUGGCAGAAAUUUCGAGAUAAAGGAAUCAUAACACUAGAGUUUGUUGAACAUUUUUCUAAGCACUACGUAGAAGGAUUGUUUUCUCCACCCGACCUCCUCAAAAUAUUCAUGAAUCUUCUCAUUCUAACACCGUUUUCGUCAGAAAUAGAUGUCACAUCACGUACGGCUCAAUACUUCAUGCCCUCACUUUUAGAUAUGCUAACACAAGACAAAAUAAUGGAAUAUCAUGUUGAGUCUGUUUUAGUGAGUCCGUUGUUAAUAAAAUUCUCUAAUGGUUGGCCACGUGCAGGAGUGUUUUGUUGCCUUCAAGUUUAUCUAAUUCAUCAGUUGGGUUGGAAGUUUCUGCUGAUUAGGGGAAAGCCGAAAGUAAUUGCUCAGAAUUGUGUACUGUUGUCUCCUCCAGGCAGUAGUUGCCGGGUUACUCUGAUCGACUCUUUUUCGUAUAUUGAAGUACACGUGGAGGGAAGCAAAGAUGUUUGUUCUGCGAUGUGUCCGACAAUUCAAAAUCAAAUUGUUUGUGGAAUACAUGCUUCUUGUAAAAUACUUCGUUACAUUGAGGAGCAGCCACAGUCAGCUUUCUUUUGUCCUUGUACACCGUAUUCUGUGCAGGCCAUGGAUAUUCCUCGUUUCCACGCUGCAGAACUACUCUUGAAAGAGGGCUAUCUAAGAUGCACUAUUGAUGAGACUUACACGUCGAGGGUCAAGUCUGAACAAAUGAUCUGGUUCCAAACUACAGCACCGGCUACUAGGGACACUGUAGGAUCAUCGGCUCAACCAGUGAGUGAAACUCUUCAAGGGCUAAUCGACAAAUAUCAGCUCACUACUUCACAAGUCAACCAUGAAAUCCAGCAAGAAGACGUAUCGUAUUUGGCUGCCUGUUUCGACAAUGUGGAGUAUUAUAUGGACGUUCUGGGUUUGUCCUCCGGAGAACAAACUGAUGUCAUCCAAAAAGCAGAUACUCACGCAGCCAUGAUCAAGUGCUUGAACAUCUGGAAAAGAAAGAAGCUCCCUCAAGCGACAUUCAGGGCCCUUCUGGAGAUGUUAGUAAAACUGAAGAAAGGGACGAUUGCUGUUCAAGUCUGUCAGUAUAUGAAGGGAAUUCCCGCUGCAUCUGUUGGAGAGCAGCACACUGUUGAACAAGCAGCUCAUGCCGCCACAAAGUUGGAUGCCUUCCUAUCAAGCAAUGGAUUGACAUACGAAGACGCAAAUAGAGAGUGCAGAGAUCAACACAUAUUUGAUAUUUCACUGUAUAUGGAAAACUGGGAGCUGGUAGCAACGCGGCUGGGAUUAACGGUAGAUGAAAUUGAAUACAUCAGACAUAGCAGUCUAACUAUAGGGAUGAUGAGAUAUGACAGUAUUAAGAAAUGGAAAUCUAAGAAUCUAUUCAGUGGAACAGCUACGUAUCGAGUUCUACUACAAGCUUUGUUGGAUCGUGGCUGCAAUGACCAAGCAAGCAAGUGUGCUCGCUACAUACUCAAGGAAUCACUACAACCCUAACCCUACAAAAUAUAAUUAAUAGUACUAAUUGUGUGUUGUUUGUUUUUUGCUUGAUGAUCUUUUACCAGAAAAUUAUAUUGAUAUAAGGAAAAGGGAAAGCUAGUGUAAAAGUAAUAAAGCCUGUACUCAAUUAGCCUCGAUUCCAGGCCGCUUAAACAACAGCCUGGAAUCGAGGCUAGUACUCAAUAGGGGUUGUCCGGGUUGUCUAAGUUCACCGUGUUUGAAGCAGUGACGUCAUUAUAAACAUUACAUCAUUACAAAUAAUCUUAGUUAAAAAACUGAAGGAUUCAGCACCAUGCAUCAUGAGAGAUAUAAUAUACAGUCUCGAGCUCUCAUACAGGGCCAGUAGAGACUCAGAGGGAUGCUUACGCCUAGCUGGAGGACCUUGCUCACUGGAGGAACUUGCUCACUUUUGUGAGGGUAGGACUAGUAAUGUAUUGAUAACAGGAUGACCAGUGUGGCAUUCUUCUGUUGGCAGUGAAACAAAAUAGAGGUAUUAUGACCAAACUGACAAUUCAACUGCCGAGUUUCAGCAAUGCAUAAUAGUGAUAUUAUUCCGUUCCAUCCGUCCACGAUUCCAGAAGAGUCAGUGGGUGACUGUCAUCUGUAUCUGUGGAAUUGUGCACUCAAAAACUAACUCCCCUCACCCCCUUUCAAAUGUUCUGUUUGAUGUAUAGUGCUCAUAUUUUCUUGCUGCAUUAAUUGCACUUACUAGAAGCUUUUGAUCUAUACGUGUACCAAGUCUAACAGUGAAUGGCCUUUUGCUUUGAGAUGAGAUGAUAGGAGACUAUCAAGGUCUUCAACCUAUCCCUCAAGUCAUAGUAGAUUUAAUUCCCCUAGGCCUUGUGCUUGUGCUAUAAUCCCUUUGUCCACUGCCCGGCUAGCCAUGCAUGCAGCUCGGUCUCAGAUGCAGCAUAGAUAGUAGAGGAAGGGGAUUGUGAACGAGAUCACGUGAACUCAAUUUCAUGGACUGUCCGUGUUAGACGGAAGCAUUAGCAGAAUGGCCGGAAGUAGACAGGAAGUAUAUAGAUCUGUGUUGCUGGGUAUGGUUGCAGCCUCCUCUGUGGGCCCUCCUGCUAGUGAAGACAUAUCAAGGAAGUAGGGACUCUGAGCUAUGUGUGUAUGCAAGCUUUUAGUUUUGAAAUUCUUUUUUUUGUAGGUUCUUUCUACUCUGGAAAUGUGUCCAUGCUCUACAAUUAUACAAUAUAAAAUAUCCAUGACAACUCAUCAUCUAUAUAACAUUAUUAUGAACUGCAGACAAGCCAUGACAUUGUAAAGAUACACGUACAUUAUGAACGAUAUGAGUCAGAAUGUGUUGUCAGAGUCCGGUCUUCUGCGUUUGGGUAACGGUUCGUGAACAAUUUUUUGACAGAACUUACCUGAUCAACUAUAUAAUAAGUGUAGAAGAGUAAUGCUUUCACAAAUCUAAUUAAACAUUUAAGGCCAGGAUUUUCAUCACAAAAGUUCAGGGAAUCGAUGUAUCUCAAUCAAAAUAGCACAGCACGCUGGUAACUUAGGUUGAAAGAACUGGAGUGAUGAGGAGAGAGGGGGUGUAAGGGUAUAUUCAGAACGUACUGACAAAUUCCAAAUGAGCUGGCACUGAACACACGAGGUGACGAUGACAUCAACUCUUGGCAGCUUGACAAUGGUGAGCACGUUCUUGACGGCAAUUAGUUCAACACUGACUUGGCAACCAAGAAGUGGAGAGAUUCAAGAGUUGCUGGUCGACUCAGGUAAAGGCUGAUGAGAGCAGACGGGGGAUGUCUACUGCUUCUUGCUUUUCUUUUGCUGAAAAAAACGCAAUUUCUGACUUCCCAUGCCCAUUGUUUACAAUCACACCUGUGUGGGAAAAGAGCAACAUGACAUUUUCACACUUUUUCAUUGAGGAAAAAUUCUUCUUUCGAGUUAGUACAGCUACUAUGUAAUAGCUAUUCUCAUAGAGUAAAGCUAAAAGAAUCAGAAAAUUCACACUAAAACUUUCAAUUGUGAACAGUCAGAUCAGGACACCCCACACAAAGAAGGCACCCCAUUCGACUUAUUUCACAACACUGGAGAACAACAAAAAGCUUACAUAUCAAAAAAAGGGGCUAUCCUGUUAAAGCUCAAGUCAAGGAAACAGCCAAUAUGCUUACUAGCUUCUAAAAGUGUAUCAGAAACUAGAUUCUCCCCAAACAGUGCUAAAAACAGGUAAAUGGUAAGUCAUAGCUAACUUGUAGCUCAACAGGUAUAUCUUAUUACUUAAAACGCUCAAAAUAUUGUUAGUAUAGAUUACUACUGACAUUAAAGCUCUUAGAUAGUCGUUUCUUACCUUUAGAACCGAGUAAAACUCUGAAAAGUCUUUAGCCCGCUCAAAAUUAGUCAAUUCGCGGUCUAACGCGGAUAGACCUCAGCUCUCAUGUAUGAUCUAUAGCGCACGUGAUCUCGUUCACAAUCCCCUUCCUCUACUAUCUAUG
RNA transcript from Halichondria panicea, 5486 nucleotides. RefSeq lists it as uncharacterized. Lineage: Eukaryota; Metazoa; Porifera; Demospongiae; Suberitida; Halichondriidae. The transcript is spliced from 6 exons. The record is from RefSeq and is a predicted model, not a curated record.